This 634-nucleotide ribosomal RNA is filed under the name Aphanistes nocturnus. RNAcentral describes it as "eukaryotic LSU rRNA". It matches the Rfam family "Eukaryotic large subunit ribosomal RNA", at positions 1338 to 1855 of the family's 3401-position model. Lineage: Eukaryota; Metazoa; Arthropoda; Insecta; Hymenoptera; Ichneumonidae. The record is from RNAcentral.
GGGCCUAUACUCUGCCGUCAGCGGCAAGUGAGACGGAACGGGGCGCGGUAAAACGGGUCCGGUCCGUCAUGAUGCCCUGACGAGUAGGAGGGUCGCGGCGGUGAGCGCAGAAGGGUCUGGGCGUGAGCCUGCCUGGAGCCGCCGUCGGUGCAGAUCUUGGUGGUAGUAGCAAAUACUCCAGCGAGGCCCUGGAGGACUGACGUGGAGAAGGGUUUCGUGUGAACAGCCGUUGCACACGAGUCAGUCGAUCCUAAGCCCUAGGAGAAAUCCUAUGUCGAUGAGGUGUAUCGGUCAAAGUGUUAUGUGACAAAUGAGACAUGCCGCACACACCCAUCGGGCGAAAGGGAAUCCGGUUCCUAUUCCGGAACCCGGCAGCGGAACCGUAUACAAUUCGGGCCCUCGCAAGAGAGUUCGUCGGGGUAACCCAAAAUGACCUGGAGACGCCGUCGGGAGAUCCGGGAAGAGUUUUCUUUUCUGUAUAAGCGUUCGAGUUCCCUGGAAACCUCUAGCAGGGAGAUAGGGUUUGGAACGCGAAGAGCACCGCAGUUGCGGCGGUGUCCGGAUCUUCCCCUCGGACCUUGAAAAUCCAGGAGAGGGCCACGUGGAGGUGUCGCGCCGGUUCGUACCCAUAUCC